RNAcentral lists this ribosomal RNA (492 nucleotides) under uncultured bacterium. RNAcentral's name for it is "partial 16S ribosomal RNA". It matches the Rfam family "Bacterial small subunit ribosomal RNA", at positions 29 to 507 of the family's 1533-position model. The record is from RNAcentral.
AGUGAACGCUGGCGGUAGGCCUAACACAUGCAAGUCGAACGGCAGCACAGUAAGAGCUUGCUCUUACGGGUGGCGAGUGGCGGACGGGUGAGGAAUACACCGGAAUCUACUUUUUCGUGGGGGAUAACGUAGGGAAACUUACGCUAAUACCGCAUACGACCUACGGGUGAAAGCAGGGGAUCUUCGGACCUUGCGCGAUUGAAUGAGCCGAUGUCGGAUUAGCUAGUUGGCGGGGUAAGGGCCCACCAAGGCGACGAUCCGUAGCUGGUCUGAGAGGAUGAUCAGCCACGCUGGAACUGAGACACGGUCCAGACUCCUACGGGAGGCAGCAGUGGGGAAUAUUGGACAAUGGGCGCAAGCCUGAUCCAGCCAUACCGCGUGGGUGAAGAAGGCCUUCGGGUUGUAAAGCCCUUUUGUUGGGAAAGAAAAGCAGCAGGUUAAUACCCCGCUGUUCUGACGGUACCCAAAGAAUAAGCACCGGCUAACUUCGUG